AGCUUUGCGCAGUGGCGAUAUCGUAACCAAUGAGGUACUACCGAGGUGCGAUUAUUGCUAGUUGAAAACUUUUACCAAUACCCCGCCAUGACGAUGUGAAAUACCAUCGGCUACGGCAAUUUUUGAAAGUUUCUGCGGAAA
Molecule: small nuclear RNA, 141 nt
Filed under: Ooceraea biroi (clonal raider ant)
Lineage: Eukaryota; Metazoa; Arthropoda; Insecta; Hymenoptera; Formicidae
Description: U4 spliceosomal RNA
Rfam family: U4 spliceosomal RNA
About the family: U4 small nuclear RNA (U4 snRNA) is a component of the major U2-dependent spliceosome. The structure of U4 snRNA from yeast and human has been reported. U4 snRNA presents a k-turn RNA motif in the 5p-SL related to recognition of Snu13 protein.
Source: Rfam by way of RNAcentral